GACGAACGCUGGCGGCGUGCUUAACACAUGCAAGUCGAACGGAAAGGCCCUGCUUUUGUAGGGUGCUCGAGUGGCGAACGGGUGAGUAACACGUGAGUAACCUGCCCUUGACUUUGGGAUAACUUCAGGAAACUGGGGCUAAUACCGGAUAGGCGCUCCUGCUGCAUGGUGGGGGUUGGAAAGUUUCGGCGGUUGGGGAUGGACUCGCGGCUUAUCAGCUUGUUGGUGGGGUAGUGGCUUACCAAGGCUUUGACGGGUAGCCGGCCUGAGAGGGUGACCGGCCACAUUGGGACUGAGAUACGGCCCAGACUCCUACGGGAGGCAGCAGUGGGGAAUAUUGCACAAUGGGCGGAAGCCUGAUGCAGCAACGCCGCGUGCGGGAUGACGGCCUUCGGGUUGUAAACCGCUUUCGCCUGUGACGAAGCGUGAGUGACGGUAAUGGGUAAAGAAGCACCGGCUAACUACGUG
Molecule: ribosomal RNA, 468 nt
Filed under: uncultured bacterium
Lineage: Bacteria
Description: partial 16S ribosomal RNA
Rfam family: Bacterial small subunit ribosomal RNA
Source: RNAcentral